RNAcentral lists this ribosomal RNA (461 nucleotides) under uncultured beta proteobacterium. Its description in RNAcentral is "bacterial SSU rRNA". It matches the Rfam family "Bacterial small subunit ribosomal RNA", at positions 200 to 642 of the family's 1533-position model. The record is from RNAcentral. Lineage: Bacteria; Pseudomonadati; Pseudomonadota; Betaproteobacteria.
AGAAAAGCAGGGGAUCGCAAGACCUUGCGCUCUUGGAGCGGCCGAUGUCUGAUUAGCUAGUUGGUGAGGUAAAGGCUUACCAAGGCGACGAUCAGUAGCUGGUCUGAGAGGACGACCAGCCACACUGGGACUGAGACACGGCCCAGACUCCUACGGGAGGCAGCAGUGGGGAAUUUUGGACAAUGGGGGAAACCCUGAUCCAGCCAUGCCGCGUGAGUGAAGAAGGCCUUCGGGUUGUAAAGCUCUUUCAGCCGGAACGAAACGGUCACGGCUAAUACCUGUGACCACUGACGGUACCGGAAGAAGAAGCACCGGCUAACUACGUGCCAGCAGCCGCGGUAAUACGUAGGGUGCAAGCGUUAAUCGGAAUUACUGGGCGUAAAGCGUGCGCAGGCGGUUUUGUAAGUCAGAUGUGAAAUCCCCGGGCUUAACCUGGGAACUGCGUUUGAAACUACAAAGCU